CUUCCUUUUCCACUAGCCAACCCUAUAAUUAUUUACAAAUUAUUAUAGACCCUGUGCUAAAUUACAUAAGAAAAAUGCAAAAAAUAAGAUGUUACAACCAUAGGAAGCCUGAUCUUGACUUCAUCUCUAAGUUAUGUAAAAAAAAAACCACCUCAAAAGCCCAAUAUUGUUCCAAAGCCUUUUCUCAUAUCUGGGUGUGUCAGAGUUCCCUAAGGACCUCAAGGGGUCCCGGACAGUGCUCACACCCAGAUUGCAUAACCAAGAGUAAGUGCAGUGUAAAAGGGCCAGCCCUUAUGUGUCCAGGUUUAGAAGAAGCUCAAAGGGUCCCAAAGCAAGGCUCACACAAGAGUGCCAGAACCUAGUAGUCUAGGAGUGCAUGUGAGAGUGCUGGACAUAGAGUCAAAGUAGUUGAGUUGGAAAAUAGUUUUAGAAACAACAUGAUUGAAGUGAGUUUGUAAAACAGCAAAAAAAUUGCCUAAUAAAAUAUUUUUUGAAAGGGAAAGGGGAUAGGAUCAACACACACAGAACCAUUUCAGAGAGAAUAAUAUGCUUCAGCAAUUACAGACAGGGAAUAGGGGGUUGGGGACAUAGAGGACUCAAAUCAGAAACACACAAUUAGUCGUGGAUUGGGUACAUUAUAGACAUGCUAGUUGAAGGACAUAAACAGGAACAAGCAAAUAUGCUAAUCACAUUUUAAAGAAGGGCAGAAUUUUAAGCAUGCUGAGUAAAGUAGUAAACAAAUAGUAAAACUCAACAGCAUAAGCCUCCAUUAAUAUAGAAAGAGAAGGUGAUUGACAACAAGGGAACGCACAGGUUUGAGUUUCAGAAUCUAAACUAGGAACAUACCAGUUGAAGGAGCAAAGUGCACAAAUGCAAAGCAAUCAGAGUUCCAAAAGUCUAGCGUUGGCUUUCAGCAGCCUAGACAAGGCAGUAGCACAAGUAGUAGAGAAAGAAAGAGAGUUUAAAUGUGUAAGUGUGUAUUUUUAAACUCAGUUGUUCGUGCCUUUAGAGAAGAGAGGGUAGGGUAUUUAUUGCUUUGAAAACGAGUAGAAAAUAAGGUAACAAGUAAAGUUUUAAAUCAAACAUGAAAAUAAUCACAAUCAGAAUCAAUUAAUACUAGUACUUUUCUUUAAUCAAGGGAAUUACUGAUCAAAUGUGUACUGACAGGAAUAAUUAAGGAAAGAAAACCAAUUUGAGAAAGAUUGAUUUCUGACCAUAUAGGGGAUAUUAAAAGUAUAGAGUAAACAAUUGAGUCUAAGUACAAAAUAUACUUUAUUGGGGAAGGAUUCAGCAUGGGUACAACAUCAAAAUAAAUAAAGGAAUGGAAUCAAUCAACUCAAACAAACGAGUAGAAUUAGUAUAAAAAAAUGUUUUCAAUCAGUCAUAACUUGAGGAAAUCAAGAGCAAUUAAGAAAGAAUCAUGAUUCUGCACUUUGCCAUAUCAAUAGAGAAGAAUGAACAAGAGUAUCAGACAUGCAAGGCCAACCAUAUUAAAAAAAGAAGCAACUCAAACAUACAGUAGUAGCAGGAGUAGGCUAGGGCUCAGUAGUAAAAGACCCUACUCGAAGCACGGUAGUUAACAAAGUCAAGUAGCCAUAUAGAACCAGAGUGAAAAACCAAACUAACAGGUAAGAAGGUGAGAAACAAGUAAAGAACCAUUUAAACUCACAGUAAUGAGUGAGGAAACACUUAUAAGA
Molecule: long non-coding RNA, 1697 nt
Filed under: Nicotiana benthamiana
Lineage: Eukaryota; Viridiplantae; Streptophyta; Magnoliopsida; Solanales; Solanaceae
Description: long non-coding RNA (NBEN_LNC017395)
Source: RNAcentral